RNAcentral lists this ribosomal RNA (506 nucleotides) under uncultured Hyphomicrobiales bacterium. RNAcentral describes it as "bacterial SSU rRNA". It matches the Rfam family "Bacterial small subunit ribosomal RNA", at positions 112 to 653 of the family's 1533-position model. Lineage: Bacteria; Pseudomonadati; Pseudomonadota; Alphaproteobacteria; Hyphomicrobiales. The record is from RNAcentral.
AACGCGUGGGAAUCUACCUUAAGCUACGGGAUAACAGAGAGAAAUUUCUGCUAAUACCGUAUGUGGNCUAUGGGCGAAAGAUUUAUCGGCUUAAGAUGAGCCCGCGUUGGAUUAGCCAGUUGGUGGGGUAAAGGCCUACCAAGGCGACGAUCCAUAGCUGGUCUGAGAGGAUGAUCAGCCACACUGGGACUGAGACACGGCCCAGACUCCUACGGGAGGCAGCAGUGGGGAAUAUUGGACAAUGGGCGGAAGCCUGAUCCAGCCAUGCCGCGUGAGUGAAGAAGGCCUUAGGGUUGUAAAGCUCUUUCACCGGUGAAGAUAAUGACGGUAACCGGAGAAGAAGCCCCGGCUAACUUCGUGCCAGCAGCCGCGGUAAUACGAAGGGGGCUAGCGUUGUUCGGAUUUACUGGGCGUAAAGCGCGCGUAGGCGGAUAGAUAAGUCAGAGGUGAAAUCCCGGGGCUCANCCCCGGAAUUGCCUUUGAUACUGUUUAUCUUGAGUGCNNAA